GGGAGAUCAGCCUGGCCCGCGUCCUUUGGGAUAGUGUGUUCGCCGGUUCGAGUCUUCCAUCCUUCUAGAGUGCCUUUCCUACUCUUUACUGAGCCGGGUCUGGCAAGCUAGAACGUUUACUUUGAAAAAAUUAGAGUGUUCCAAGCAGGCUGUCGCCUUGAAUACAUUAGCAUGGAAUAAUAAUAUAGGACUUCGGACCUUCUUUGUUGGUUUUUUGCACCGAAGUA
This 227-nucleotide ribosomal RNA is filed under the name uncultured fungus. RNAcentral's name for it is "partial small subunit ribosomal RNA". The stretch from base 99 to 227 matches the Rfam family "Eukaryotic small subunit ribosomal RNA", at positions 734 to 864 of the family's 1831-position model. Lineage: Eukaryota; Fungi. The record is from RNAcentral.